RNAcentral lists this ribosomal RNA (501 nucleotides) under uncultured bacterium. RNAcentral describes it as "partial 16S ribosomal RNA". It matches the Rfam family "Bacterial small subunit ribosomal RNA", at positions 30 to 523 of the family's 1533-position model. The record is from RNAcentral.
AUUGAACGCUGGCGGCAGGCUUAACACAUGCAAGUCGAGCGGGGGAAGGUAGCUUGCUACCGGACCUAGCGGCGGACGGGUGAGUAAUGCUUAGGAAUCUGCCUAUUAGUGGGGGACAACAUCUCGAAAGGGAUGCUAAUACCGCAUACGUCCUACGGGAGAAAGCAGGGGAUCUUCGGACCUUGCGCUAAUAGAUGAGCCUAAGUCGGAUUAGCUAGUUGGUGGGGUAAAGGCCUACCAAGGCGACGAUCUGUAGCGGGUCUGAGAGGAUGAUCCGCCACACUGGGACUGAGACACGGCCCAGACUUCUACGGGAGGCAGCAGUGGGGAAUAUUGGACAAUGGGGGGAACCCUGAUCCAGCCAUGCCGCGUGUGUGAAGAAGGCCCUAUGGUUGUAAAGCACUUUAAACGAGGAGGAGGCUACUUUAGUUAAUACCUAGAGAUAGUGGACGUUACUCGCAGAAUAAGCACCGGCUAACUCUGUGCCAGCCGCCGCCGUAA